GACGAACGCUGGCGGCGUGCUUAACACAUGCAAGUCGAACGGAAAGGCCCUGCUUUUGUGGGGUGCUCGAGUGGCGAACGGGUGAGUAACACGUGAGUAACCUGCCCUUGACUUUGGGAUAACUUCAGGAAACUGGGGCUAAUACCGGAUAGGAGCUCCUGCUGCAUGGUGGGGGUUGGAAAGUUUCGGCGGUUGGGGAUGGACUCGCGGCUUAUCAGCUUGUUGGUGGGGUAGGGGCUUACCAAGGGUUUGACGGGUAGCCGGCCUGAGAGGGUGACCGGCCACAUUGGGACUGAGAUACGGACCAGACUCCUACGGGAGGCAGCAGUGGGGAAUAUUGCACAAUGGGCGGAAGCCUGAUGCAGCAACGCCGCGUGCGGGAUGACGGCCUUCGGGUUGUAAACCGCUUUCGCCUGUGACGAAGCGUGAGUGACGGUAAUGGGUAAAGAAGCACCGGCUAACUACGUG
RNAcentral lists this ribosomal RNA (468 nucleotides) under uncultured bacterium. Its description in RNAcentral is "partial 16S ribosomal RNA". It matches the Rfam family "Bacterial small subunit ribosomal RNA", at positions 28 to 507 of the family's 1533-position model. The record is from RNAcentral.